GUUGAGGAUUGGGUCUUUGUGGGCGAGAUGAGGGUGUCAGUUCAACUGGCCUACAAAGUCCCAGUUCUCGGU
MicroRNA precursor from Monodelphis domestica (gray short-tailed opossum), 72 nucleotides. It matches the Rfam family "mir-193 microRNA precursor family". The record is from Rfam. NCBI's taxonomy places the organism in Eukaryota, Metazoa, Chordata, Mammalia, Didelphimorphia, Didelphidae.